UUGUAAACCUGGAGCUCAAUGUUGGGUUUUUUGUCAAUAACUUCAGACCCUCCAAUGACGUAGUUUGUAGGCGGGGCCUUAGACUGGGUGUCCAGGCAUCCAUACCACGUGACCAGGUAGAUACCGUUAAAGUCUGGAUUGUCCUGUGGGGCUUCCGUGGACAGUUUCCCGAGGAUAUGUGGGAAGAUGGCGGCACCCGCCUUCCGGGAUCAGAAAAUGACCUGUGGUGGAAAAGUCUGGGACUGGUCAGCAUGGGAGCCUGUACCAUGACUAGUGUGGAACUGGAACUAACUGUCCACAGCAUCCAGCCAGGUAAGAACAACCGUCUCUUGUGUGAGGUGACAGGUGUUGGGUAGAGGGCAGCACCAAUCUGGUCUCACCUGUACCAUCAUUUAGGAAGGUGUUGAAGCCAAUGUCCUCGGUCUCCAGGCAAGGAAUUGCCAUUGGUGUUAAGGUCUGUCCAUGGGUGCUGCUUAUUGACGUCAUGAUUGAGACUCUCCUAGAUAUUGACAUCUUUUUCCAGGCAUUAGUGGUGUUCCUCUGCUCACUGUCAGUGUCCCAUUACAGCAAGCUUGAAUUUAUUUGAAUGUUAUGGUUUCCAAAACCAUAACAGAACUUGGCAUUUUAUCUUCAAAGUCUUGAUGUUUUGAUCCUAUUUGGAAUCUUUUGCACUAACAGGCAAUAGCAGGAUGAACUCGAGAGGAUGGUCAAAAGUCAACUCCAGGAAUGGAGGGAAUGUGGGAUGCUGCUCAGAUGCCUUUUAACUUCUGGUUCAAAAAUGGAUUUGAAGGGCCAGCAAGCUUCCUCAGGGGUGUCUGCGGAAUCUCUAUGGAAACCUGACCUCAUCAAUCAUGCUGUGAAGCAAGAGGCAGCCCAGGAUUUCAGGCUUUUCCGUCUCCUGAGCAACUUUCUGUUCUGGCCAACUCAGACUCUGCGCAUGGAGGCUGCCAGGCCUCAGGCCUCAGUGCUCAUCAGGACCCUUUGCCAUUUGUCAAUGGUGCAGUCUGGAGGGGGCCUGCUAACUGGCAGUGCCAGACAGUACUCUCUCUUUCUUGGCCUAUGUAAAGUCAUUUCUUUUGUGUGUGGUGAUUUAUUCAUUGAAAUGCUGGUGAAGACAUUGGACAGUGUGACAGAGGGAAUUAACAUGCUAAUUGGAAGUAUGCACUAUCCUAAGAUGUUCCUAUGGUGACUUUGAACCUUUAGUCUGAAUGGGUCCUUUUGGGUCCUGGAGUUUUCUAUUGGCACACGUUUCUUGGAGAAGGUGGCAUCACACAACCUGAAGUUCGCUCACCUUAGGUCAAAUUCCAUAUUUGUUUGGGAAGAGACCCUAAAGUGUCUAUAUUUUACUCAGUACGUUGUCAUUCAUAAACUUUUGACUAGUCACUGUCAUUGGUUAACUUACUUUUAAUCCUUGGACGAUGAGAGUCAUUUUUAUUUUCCUCCCAAUGUAAAAUUGAGGCCUGAAAUCCAUGGAAAAACUUUACCCCAACCCAUGUAAGGAUGGCUUAUUUCUUAGUCAAAAGCCCUUGUGAAACUUGAGGUAACUGUGAUGCUUCCUCCCUGUUACACUUGAACAUGUUGUGCCGUCUGCCUCUGCAAUGUCACCGCCAUCUUUGGUCUUCUUGUUUUUUGUGAGUGGGGAAGACUUCGGGGAAGACUGAAAUGCGUGCCUUGGGGCAUAGGUACACUAAGUAAUAGCAUGGAAGCAGCAUACUCAAGGUAGAGGAUGCCAAAAGGGUGUCUCCCUAAUUGCUGGAAGUCCCACGGUUCCAAGUCCUCGAUGAAAGAGAAGGUGGACCUCCUCAGAAUUUAAGUUGAGACCUGGUUCCCUGGACCUUUCCCAGGAGUUCAUUCCUAGGACAGCCUUGUCACUUAGUUUUUUCUGGUAUGUAUUCAUUGAGUAUCUACUCACUAGUGGUAAUGUUCUGUAAAUUCUUGGUGUGCAGUAUUUCAUAUCACACUCCAAUUUGACUCA
Non-coding RNA from Microcebus murinus (gray mouse lemur), 1975 nucleotides. NCBI's taxonomy places the organism in Eukaryota, Metazoa, Chordata, Mammalia, Primates, Cheirogaleidae. The record is from RefSeq and is a predicted model, not a curated record.